This 403-nucleotide ribosomal RNA is filed under the name uncultured bacterium. RNAcentral describes it as "partial 16S ribosomal RNA". It matches the Rfam family "Bacterial small subunit ribosomal RNA", at positions 28 to 526 of the family's 1533-position model. The record is from RNAcentral.
GUCGAACGCUGGCGGCGUGCUUAACACAUGCAAGUCGAACGCGCGGCGGUCGGGUGAGUAAUGUAUGGGGACUGCCCGAUCGAGGGGGCUAACUACUGGAAACGGUGGCUCAUACCCCAUACUGUCGGAUACCCCAUAUGGGCUUAGCUAGUAGGUAAGGUAAUGGCUUACCUAGGCGACGAUCCCUAGCUGGUCUGAGAGGAUGAUCAGCCACACUGGGACUGAGACACGGCCCAGACUCCUACGGAGGCAGCAGUGGGGAAGAUUGGACAAUGGGCGCAAGCCUGAGGCAGCCAUGCCGCGUGUAUGAAGAAGGCCCUAGGGUUGUAAAGUACUUUCAGUAGGGAGGCGUUACCGACAGAAGAAGCACUGGCUAACUCCGUGCCAGCAGCCGCGGUAAUUC